GGCAGCACCGGGGCCCCAACAGAACCUCGGACCGCACGGACCGCAGGGUCCAGGAUGGGUGCUCAACGUCCCCUACGCACAGGCUUAGCGUGUGACAGUCACAGGAGCGUUCGUGUUUCCAGAACAUUCCAUGGUUCUCGUGGACAGAUGGUUUUCCUCUGUGUAGCAUUUGCUCUCAGUUCUCUCCUGUGCACCUUGCUGAGCCCUCCCAGCCGUGUCCCCCAGCCCUCCAGGCCCUUGGCAAAGCGCAGUGACCCCUCCCGGGUGUGAUGUCCCCUCACGGGUGCUGUGUCCCCAGCAGGGGUAAUGGCCCUUGCCAGGUGUGGCCUGCCGGUCACAGUACACCUGCUCUCUAGUCUGAUUUCCUUGAGCACCUGGUGAACGGCCUGGUAUACAGUAAGUGCUCAGCUGGAUUGUCUGCACUGAUUUGUGCCAUCAGUUUGCACAGAAGUUUGUUCUCCAACUGUGUGUGUUUUUCUCUGCCUAGCUCCUGGCUUCCAGAACCCCAGAUGUGUCUUCCUUCUUCCACACCCACUCGAGCAAAAAGAACUUCAAACAACACGAGCUGGUCACUCCACAAAUAUCACAGAAGGGCAGAGGCGUGAAGAGGAUGAGGCGGUGACCCCCCGGGCCUCCCAAAGCCCGGCCCAACACUGGCCAAGGUCAAGCAGUGCGGCUUCUCAAGGCCUUGGCUCACGGGGCUCCAGGGUGGCAGGCGGCCGGCUGGAAAUCAGGGAGCCACGGCCCUGCAGUCCCAGCCCAGGCCAGCAGGAGGCAGAACGCCCUCUGUUUCUCAAGGUCUGGGCUGAUUGGACAAGGCCCGCCCACACCGUGGACCGUAAAGGUGAUUCACCUGACCACAUCCAGACAUUUCCACCUCACGGAAACCCCACCGAAUCAGCCUCUGGCGCCCGCUGGGUCCCAAGCCCCGCCUCACCUGUCCCCUUGGUUCCUGCACAGCCGGCAGUGCUGUGGGACACGGGGUGGGGGGAGGCCAGAGACAGCCCUGGGACUUGGGGGGACUCCAUGCUCCCCACACUGGCUUCUCCCAAAGUGAGUUCACAAAGCGAGACCGGAAUCUGUUUCAUUUCUAUUUCCCAAAUGCAUUGGCACGCUGGCCACGGACAGAAAGCGUGCUAACUUGCAGACAUGUUAGUGACUUUGCUG
RNAcentral lists this long non-coding RNA (1167 nucleotides) under Oryctolagus cuniculus (rabbit). RNAcentral describes it as "lncRNA (ENSOCUG00000036768.1)". The record is from RNAcentral. Lineage: Eukaryota; Metazoa; Chordata; Mammalia; Lagomorpha; Leporidae.